This is a long non-coding RNA of Heterocephalus glaber (naked mole-rat), 642 nucleotides long. RefSeq lists it as uncharacterized. NCBI's taxonomy places the organism in Eukaryota, Metazoa, Chordata, Mammalia, Rodentia, Bathyergidae. The record is from RefSeq and is a predicted model, not a curated record.
AUGCCAAGUAUGGCUGGAUCACUUCCUUCUCACCUCCAGUCUGUGCCUUGCCAGGCUAAGCAAGCAGCCACCUGAGGCAGGGAGGAAGACGGGCACCCAAGACUGCCAGGCUCCAAGCGGGGAAUGAAGGCACAGCCUCCCAACUUGGGAAGUCUGGGUAGAGGAGUGAGAAAGCACCGGGCCCUCUGCUGCUCGCAUCCCACUCUCAGAAGGGUGCUUGGAGGUACCGACCAACACACAAGCCGGCUCACUGUACAUUCUUUUUCUCCUUUCAGCUGCACAUAACUCUGCCAGGAGCAUUCGCUUACCCACUUUACAGAAAGGCUUCAAGACAAUCAAUUCCCAGUGGCCUCAAGCCAGUGUCAAAACCCUCCUGAAAGACCCCUCACACUACACUCUGGCUCUUCUGCCAUGACAUUCCUGCUUUGGAGCCAGCUGACCAUGGACUAAAACUGCUGAAACUCCCUGGGGACCAAGCUUCUGCUUCAACAAAAAACCAGCCACUUAUCAACCUGCUCCUGGCACUAUGCUGGCUGAUGACUGGUUGAAGGGAGAGAGGACUCCUUUAAAAAUAUGUACAAAAGCCAGACAUUGUGGGGCACAGCUGUAAUCCCAGCUACUCAAGAGGAUGAAGCAGGAGAU